AUGAACCACUCCCCUACAGUUCAAUCUCGUCUUACGGACCUUGGCACGAUCUUGAAGCGACAUCAGCUUCACAGAUUUGUUCAUGCUCUCCCGACGAGGUGCCCGACGAUUGCUAGUAUUUCCCGGCACUUCUCCAUGUGUGCGGUGCGAGCGGAGGGGGGUUGGGCUCAAGGCGGUGUUAAUGGUUGGGGGCAUGGUUGUGGUGGCGGGGGCCACACAUUUUCGUUAUCGCCAUGGGGACUGCAUGUCGUGGUCACCAGGGAUACAUGGUGGUCGGGAUGCGAUGCGCGUGGACUAGCAAAAGGCCUCGCCGAUAUCUCCUGGGUGUUUUUCCCUGCGUGCGCUGCCGGUUCUAUGCAAGCACCUGGUCAUGAGUUCCAGGGUGAAAAUCUAGAUUCCGACCUCGUGUGGUUGGAUGCGGUGACGGCGACGCUUAAGCGUCGCUUCCGUCGUAAAGGCAUUGUUGUUGAAGAAUCUCGUCGUCGGUGUGAUGUCAUGAGGUGGUUGGUGCGGAUAUGCUUGGAUCGAUGUCCAUGGACGGCAAGACCCCUGAUCUGUUGGGUGAAUAAGCCGCGGCGGUGCACUGGGCUCGACUGGCGUGUGUAUGGGCGCGAGCCGGACGCGUCGGGUGCACCGGGUCCGCGGGGUUGCGCGGCCAAGAAGAAGAUCCGCGAUGGCGUCCCGCUGGUCUGCGCAUGGGCGCUCAUCAACACCUUCAGCACAGCAGUCAGCUACGUAGCCGUCGACUACAUCCCCGUCUCGUGCAGCCAGUCCUCCUUCAUUCUGCCGUGCAUAGAGCUGACGGACGCGGAGGAAGCCAGAGUAAUCGCCCUCUCCAUCGGGAUGCUGUGCUGCGCCCCAUUACAGGCGGCCGCCGCGGCGCUGGCGCUGCUGCUCCCAUGCCGCCGUCGCUCUGCCCGCCGUGCCCUCGUCUACCUCGCGCUCGCGGUCACCGUCCUCUUCCAUUGCAUGAGCGCCAGCACCGUCUGGAUCUUCCUCGCCGCCGACCCAGGAUACAUCUUCGGCAGGAUCUACUUCACUGCGGGGUUCUGCUUCAUCGUGGUGUGCGACCUCCUCAGCUUCCGGGCCCUCCUGGGAGGUGAUGGGUGGGGCAUGAAGUACGUGGCCUAUUUCUUCUGA
This 1140-nucleotide ribosomal RNA is filed under the name Triticum aestivum (bread wheat). Its description in RNAcentral is "partial small subunit ribosomal RNA". Lineage: Eukaryota; Viridiplantae; Streptophyta; Magnoliopsida; Poales; Poaceae. The record is from RNAcentral.